UCUCAAGAAGUGUUUUCCGCUUCGGACCAUGCCUAAGUCCCUUGGAAAAGGGCAUCAUAGAGGGUGAUAAUCCCGUACAUGGCUUGGAGCGCCCGUAGCUUUGUGAUACGCUUUCUAAGAGUCGAGUUGUUUGGGAAUGCAGCUCAAAAUGGGUGGUAAAUGCCAUCUAAGGCUAAAUAUUGGGGAGAGACCGAUAGCGAACAAGUACAGUGAUGGAAAGAUGAAAACAACUUUGAAAAGAGAGUUAAACAGUACGUCAAAUUGCCAAAAGGGAAGGGUAGGAGGUCAGAGAUGCGUCUUGGGAUUCAGCCUUGCUUUUGCCUGGUGUUUUUCCCAAGCUGCAGGCCAACGUCGGUUUUGGGCACAGGAGAAGGGUAGGAGGAACGUGGCACCUCUCGGGGUGUGUUAUAGCCUCCUACUGGAUACAGCGACCGAGACCGAGGAACGCAGCGUACUCGUAAGAGCGGGCCUUUUGGCACCUUUACGCUUAGGGCGUUGGCAUAAUGGCCCUCUACCACCCGUCUUGAAACACGGACCA
RNAcentral lists this ribosomal RNA (538 nucleotides) under Ustilago sp. DMKU-SP219. Its description in RNAcentral is "LSU rRNA". It matches the Rfam family "Eukaryotic large subunit ribosomal RNA", at positions 149 to 668 of the family's 3401-position model. The record is from RNAcentral. Lineage: Eukaryota; Fungi; Basidiomycota; Ustilaginomycetes; Ustilaginales; Ustilaginaceae.